CCGAUGAGGUGGAAACGGACAGAGCUGGCGUAUCUGGCCUGCAUUCAGCCGCUGCGCGUCGGGCCCCGGUUUGCCGCACUCCAGAUUGGGAAGGUGGCUGGGCUGCUGGCGUGCUGGUGGUGCAUUUGCAGGUGGAGUGCGCCGAGGCGCUCGGUUCAGCGGCAUGAGCUCGGCUUUGAGGCCAGUCGCGCAAGCGGUCUGGUACCCGGGUCGGGGGAGUGUUGUUUGGGCUGGGUGUUCGCUGGGGCACAGGUUUCGGGCCCGGGUGGGUGCCGAGCUGGCGGUCGGCGGCGGUCGCGUGCGACACGUGCCAGCAGUCAGUUCGGUCCUGCUCGAGCUCUCUCGUGUCCGGCCUCGGUGUAAAAGCCGGUCAUCUGUCCGACCCGUCUUGAAACACGGACCAAGGAGUUUAGCGUGUGCGCGAGUCAUUGGGUGUUGAAAACCCAGAGGCGUAAUGAAAGUGAAGGUCUGCCUUGUGCAGCUGAUGUGUGAUCCUGGGCGCUGCGGCGCCCGGGCGCAACAUAGUCCCGUCCCGACUGCAUGCAGUGGGGCGGAGACAGAGCGUACGCGCUGAG
This 575-nucleotide ribosomal RNA is filed under the name Helicotylenchus dihystera. RNAcentral describes it as "eukaryotic LSU rRNA". The stretch from base 400 to 575 matches the Rfam family "Eukaryotic large subunit ribosomal RNA", at positions 665 to 813 of the family's 3401-position model. The record is from RNAcentral. Lineage: Eukaryota; Metazoa; Nematoda; Chromadorea; Rhabditida; Hoplolaimidae.